This 221-nucleotide long non-coding RNA is filed under the name Elaeis guineensis (African oil palm). RNAcentral describes it as "long non-coding RNA (EGUI_LNC004293)". Lineage: Eukaryota; Viridiplantae; Streptophyta; Magnoliopsida; Arecales; Arecaceae. The record is from RNAcentral.
CUGGACAAUCUUGAGGGGAAUAUGAGGCCCGAGAUCCUGUCCUGCUCAGGUAUCUUCAGAAACUCAGAUCUCUUCAAGUAAAUUUUGAUUAUUUUAAGAUCUUCCAUAACCCGCGCUCGAAAAAUGCCCAAGCUAAUUUCUUAUCCCAACUCAUGACCUUCGGAUGCAAUGAGUUGGGUAAAAUCUUUGUUGAGCAUCUGGAUAAUUCAAGUAUCGAUACC